CCUACGGGGUGCAGCAGUGGGGAAUAUUGCACAAUGGGGGAAACCCUGAUGCAGCGACGCCGCGUGAGUGAAGAAGUAUUUCGGUAUGUACAGCUCUAUCAGCAGGAACGAGACAAGACGGUACCUGACUAAGAAGCCCCGGCUAACUACGUGCCAGCAGCCGCGGUAAUACGUAGGGGGCAAGCGUUAUCCGGAAUCACUGGGUGUAAAGGGAGCGUAGACGGCUGAGCAAGCCUGAAGUGAAAACCCAGGGCUCAACCUUGGGACUGCUUUUGAAACUGAGUAGCUAGAGUGCAGGAGAGGUAAGCGGAAUUCCUAGUGUAGCGGUGAAAUGCGUAGAUAUUAGGAGGAACACCAGUGGCGAAGGCGGCUUACUGGACUGUAACUGACGUUGAGGCUCGAAAGCGUGGGGAGCAAACAGGAUUAGAUACCCGAGUAGUC
Molecule: ribosomal RNA, 441 nt
Filed under: uncultured bacterium
Lineage: Bacteria
Description: partial 16S ribosomal RNA
Rfam family: Bacterial small subunit ribosomal RNA
Source: RNAcentral